AUUGAACGCUGGCGGCAUGCUUUACACAUGCAAGUCGAACGGCAGCGCGGGCUUCGGCCUGGCGGCGAGUGGCGAACGGGUGAGUAAUACAUCGGAACGUGCCCAGUAGUGGGGGAUAGCUCGGCGAAAGCCGGAUUAAUACCGCAUACGACCUGAGGGUGAAAGCGGGGGAUCUUCGGACCUCGCGCUAUUGGAGCGUCCGAUGGCAGCUUAGCUAGUUGGUGGGGUAAAGGCCUACCAAGGCGACGAUCUGUAGCUGGUCUGAGAGGACGACCAGCCACACUGGGACUGAGACACGGACCAGACUCCUACGGGAGGCAGCAGUGGGGAAUUUUCGACAAUGGGCGAAAGCCUGAUCCAGCAAUGCCGCGUGUGUGAUGAAGGCCUUCGGGUUGUAAAGCACUUUUGGCGGGAACGAAAAGGACUGUGCCAAUACCACGGUUCGAUGACGGUACCCGCAGAAUAAGCACCGGCUAACUACGUG
Molecule: ribosomal RNA, 484 nt
Filed under: uncultured bacterium
Lineage: Bacteria
Description: partial 16S ribosomal RNA
Rfam family: Bacterial small subunit ribosomal RNA
Source: RNAcentral